UAGCAAAGCUAUGGAGACAUAGUGGAGGUUAUCAGGGAGACAGGUGGUGCAUGGUUGUCGUCAGCUCGUGUCGUGAGAUGUUGGGUUAAGUCCCGCAACGAGCGCAACCCUUAUUGCUAGUUACCAUCAUUGAGUUGGGGACUCUAGCGAGACUGCCAGUGAUAAACUGGAGGAAGGUGGGGAUGACGUCAAAUCAUCAUGCCCCUUAUGUCUAGGGCUACACACGUGCUACAAUGGUGAGGACAAAGAGACGCAAGACCGCGAGGUGGAGCAAAUCUCACAAACCUCAUCCCAGUUCGGAUUGCAGGCUGAAACUCGCCUGCAUGAAGCCGGAGUUGCUAGUAAUCGCGAAUCAGCAUGUCGCGGUGAAUACGUUCCCGGGCCUU
This 386-nucleotide ribosomal RNA is filed under the name uncultured Clostridium sp. RNAcentral's name for it is "bacterial SSU rRNA". It matches the Rfam family "Bacterial small subunit ribosomal RNA", at positions 991 to 1382 of the family's 1533-position model. Lineage: Bacteria; Bacillati; Bacillota; Clostridia; Eubacteriales; Clostridiaceae. The record is from RNAcentral.